AACGAACGCUGGCGGCAGGCCUAACACAUGCAAGUCGAGCGGACAUCUUCGGAUGUUAGCGGCGGACGGGGGAGCAAGGCGUGGGAAUGUGCCCUUGGCUGCGGCAUAGCCUCGGGAAACUUGGAGUAAUACCGGAUGUUCCCUUUAGGGGAAAGAUGUAUCGGCAAAGGGUCGUGCCGCGUUGGAGUACGUAGGUGGUGGUGUAAUGGCCUACCAAGUCGGCGAUCCAUAGCUGGUUUGAGGGGAUGAUCAGCCACACUGGGGCUGCGACCCGGACCAGACUGCGACGGAGGGGAGCAGUGGAGAAUCUUAGACACUGGGGGACACACUGAUCUAGCCUUGCCGCGUGAGGGAUGAAGGCCUUAGGGUUGUAACGCUCUUUCACCGGGGAAGAUAAUGCCGGUACCAGAAGAAGAAGCCCCGGCUAACUCCGU
RNAcentral lists this ribosomal RNA (434 nucleotides) under uncultured bacterium. Its description in RNAcentral is "partial 16S ribosomal RNA". It matches the Rfam family "Bacterial small subunit ribosomal RNA", at positions 29 to 506 of the family's 1533-position model. The record is from RNAcentral.